AAAGGAAUAGACGGGGGCCCGCACAAGCGGUGGAGCAUGUUGGUUAAUUGGAUGAUACGCCAAGAACCUUACCAGGGCUUGACAUGUUCUCGACAGCCUGGGAAACCAGGUCUUCCACUUCGGUGGACGAGAUCACAGGUGGUGCAUGGUUGUCGACAGCUCGUGUCGUGAGAUGUUGGGUUAAGUCCCGCAACGAGCGCAACCCUCACUGAAUGUUGCCAGCGGAUAAUGCCGGGGACUCUUUCAGGACUGCCUGAGCAAUCAGGAGGAAGGGGGGGAUGACGUCAAAUCGGCAUGCCCCUUAUGCUCUGGGCUGCAAACGUGCUACAAUGGCCGGUACAGAGGGCUGCGAAGCCGCGAGGUGAAGCCAAUCCUUAAAACCGGUCCCAGUUCGGAUUGGAUGUCUGCAACUCGACUCCAUGAAGCUGGAAUCGCUAGUAAUCGCGGAUCAGCAAUGCCGCGGUGAAUACGUUCCCGGGCCUUGUACACACCGCCCGU
This 498-nucleotide ribosomal RNA is filed under the name uncultured bacterium. RNAcentral describes it as "bacterial SSU rRNA". It matches the Rfam family "Bacterial small subunit ribosomal RNA", at positions 903 to 1397 of the family's 1533-position model. The record is from RNAcentral.